RNAcentral lists this transfer RNA (69 nucleotides) under Nanorana yunnanensis (Yunan spiny frog). RNAcentral describes it as "tRNA-Gly". It matches the Rfam family "tRNA". From Rfam's summary of the family: Transfer RNA (tRNA) molecules are approximately 80 nucleotides in length. Their secondary structure includes four short double-helical elements and three loops (D, anti-codon, and T loops). Further hydrogen bonds mediate the characteristic L-shaped molecular structure. tRNAs have two regions of fundamental functional importance: the anti-codon, which is responsible for specific mRNA codon recognition, and the 3' end, to which the tRNAs corresponding amino acid is attached (by aminoacyl-tRNA synthetases). tRNAs cope with the degeneracy of the genetic code in two manners: having more than one tRNA (with a specific anti-codon) for a particular amino acid; and 'wobble' base-pairing, i.e. permitting non-standard base-pairing at the 3rd anti-codon position. Lineage: Eukaryota; Metazoa; Chordata; Amphibia; Anura; Dicroglossidae. The record is from RNAcentral.
AUUCUCUUAGUACAAAUAAUACAAAUGACUUCCAAUCAUUUUAUCUUGGUUUAAAUCCAAGAGAGAAUA